RNAcentral lists this ribosomal RNA (842 nucleotides) under uncultured Lactococcus sp. RNAcentral's name for it is "bacterial SSU rRNA". It matches the Rfam family "Bacterial small subunit ribosomal RNA", at positions 53 to 869 of the family's 1533-position model. Lineage: Bacteria; Bacillati; Bacillota; Bacilli; Lactobacillales; Streptococcaceae. The record is from RNAcentral.
ACAUGCAAGUUGAACGCUUGAUUUUCACCGAAGCUUGCUUCACCGAAAAUCAAGAGUAGCGAACGAGUGAGUAACGCGUGGGUAACCUACCUUUCAGCGGGGGAUAACUAUUGGAAACGAUAGCUAAUACCGCAUAACAAUGUUGGAUGCAUAUUCGACAUUUGAAAGUAUCAAUUGGUACACUGAGAGAUGGACCCGCGUUGUAUUAGCUAGUUGGUAGUGUAAUGGACUACCAAGGCGAUGAUACAUAGCCGACCUGAGAGGGUGAUCGGCCACAUUGGGACUGAGACACGGCCCAAACUCCUACGGGAGGCAGCAGUAGGGAAUCUUCGGCAAUGGACGAAAGUCUGACCGAGCAACGCCGCGUGAGUGAAGAAGGUUUUCGGAUCGUAAAACUCUGUUGUUAGAGAAGAACGUUGCAUAGAGUGGAAAAUUAUGCAAGUGACGGUAUCUAACCAGAAAGGGACGGCUAACUACGUGCCAGCAGCCGCGGUAAUACGUAGGUCCCGAGCGUUGUCCGGAUUUAUUGGGCGUAAAGCGAGCGCAGGUGGUUUAAUAAGUCUGAUGUAAAAGGCAGUGGCUCAACCAUUGUGUGCAUUGGAAACUGUUAGACUUGAGUGCAGUAGAGGAGAGUGGAAUUCCAUGUGUAGCGGUGAAAUGCGUAGAUAUAUGGAGGAACACCGGUGGCGAAAGCGGCUCUCUGGACUGUCACUGACACUGAGGCUCGAAAGCGUGGGUAGCAAACAGGAUUAGAUACCCUGGUAGUCCACGCCGUAAACGAUGAGUGCUAGUUGUUUGGGGCUAUCCAGCCCUAAGUGACGCAGCAAACGCAUUAAGCACUC